Molecule: ribosomal RNA, 371 nt
Filed under: Babesia bovis
Lineage: Eukaryota; Apicomplexa; Aconoidasida; Piroplasmida; Babesiidae
Description: SSU rRNA
Rfam family: Eukaryotic small subunit ribosomal RNA
Source: RNAcentral
GGUUGAUCCUGCCAGUAGUCAUAUGCUUGUCUUAAAGACUAAGCCAUGCAUGUCUAAGUACCAGCUUGUUACGGUGAAACUGCGAAUGGCUCAUUACAACAGUUAUAGUUUCUUUGGAGUUCACUUUGCUAUGGAUAACCGCGCUAAUUGUGUGGCUAAUACACGUUUGAGGUUUUUCCCGCGUUUACUGGUCUUGUGAUUUACAGUAACCUGCGACUCGCUUUUUGCGAUAUUCCAUUCAAGUUUCUGACCCAUCAGCUUGACGGUAGGGUAUUGGCCUCCCGAGGCAUCGACGGGUAACGGGGAAUUAGGGUUCGAUUCCGGAGAGGGAGCCUGCGAGACGGCUACCACAUCUAAGGAAGGCAGCAGGC